Molecule: ribosomal RNA, 246 nt
Filed under: uncultured bacterium
Lineage: Bacteria
Description: partial 16S ribosomal RNA
Rfam family: Bacterial small subunit ribosomal RNA
Source: RNAcentral
UUGACUGAGUGGCGGACGGGUGAGUAACGCGUGGGUAACCUGCUCAUACAGGGGGAUAACAGUUAGAAAUGACUGCUAAUACCGCAUAAGACCACAGUACCGCAUGGUACAGGGGUAAAAACUCCGGUGGUAUGAGAUGGACCCGCGUCUGAUUAGGUAGUUGGUGGGGUAACGGCCUACCAAGCCGACGACCAGUAGCCGACCUGAGAGGGUGACCGGCCACAUUGGGACUGAGACACGGCCCAA